AUGGACAUUCCCCUAGCUGAUAUUCUUACAACCACGUCUAGGUCAGAGAGUGAAAACUCAUUUUUCAAGAAUUUCCUCAUGUGCAAGCUUGCUUUUGUUGAGUUUUGGCUUAGGUUUGACACAACGUUGAAAAGUAAGAGGCAAGAGGAAUUGAUUGCCGACCACACAAGCAUACAUACCACACCUAGGUUGUUGACAUGUUGGAAGGUGGAACGGCAAGGUAGCAUAAUAUUCACACAUGAGUUCUUUGCCUUGCUUCAGUCAGAAGUAUUUGCUGCUAGAGAGCAUUGUGAUGUCCAGGACACCACAACUGUCGGGGGUUUGAAUAUCUUGUCCAUUAGCGAUCAAAGUCAUCGGAAAAACAAGGUAAGAGAGGUACACUUGGAACAACAACCAUCAUUGCUAGAUGUUCUUGCAAGCUCUUUGAGUCAAAAGGCAUUGUUUGUCGCCAUGUCAUACGUGUCUUGA
This 468-nucleotide ribosomal RNA is filed under the name Triticum aestivum (bread wheat). RNAcentral's name for it is "partial small subunit ribosomal RNA". The record is from RNAcentral. Lineage: Eukaryota; Viridiplantae; Streptophyta; Magnoliopsida; Poales; Poaceae.